GGCUGGUUAGCUCACUCGGUUGGAGCAUGGUCCUGAUAACACCAAGGUCAUGAGUUCAAUCCCCGUUCAGUCC
This 73-nucleotide transfer RNA is filed under the name Apaloderma vittatum (bar-tailed trogon). It matches the Rfam family "tRNA". From Rfam's summary of the family: Transfer RNA (tRNA) molecules are approximately 80 nucleotides in length. Their secondary structure includes four short double-helical elements and three loops (D, anti-codon, and T loops). The record is from Rfam by way of RNAcentral. Lineage: Eukaryota; Metazoa; Chordata; Aves; Trogoniformes; Trogonidae.